RNAcentral lists this transfer RNA (68 nucleotides) under Suwallia errata. RNAcentral describes it as "tRNA-Thr". It matches the Rfam family "tRNA". From Rfam's summary of the family: Transfer RNA (tRNA) molecules are approximately 80 nucleotides in length. Their secondary structure includes four short double-helical elements and three loops (D, anti-codon, and T loops). Lineage: Eukaryota; Metazoa; Arthropoda; Insecta; Plecoptera; Chloroperlidae. The record is from RNAcentral.
GUUUUAGUAGUUUAAAAAAAACUUUGGUCUUGUAAAUCAAAAUUAAGGCUACAAAACCUUCUAAGACU